GAGACCCACGCCAACAGUUGCCAGCUCGGUCCUCCCGGGGAUGGUGGGGACGACUGUUGGGACCGGCCUCUGCUAAAGAGGAGGAAGGAAUGGGCAACGGUAGGUCAGCAUGCCCCGAAUUAUCUGGGCUACACGCGGGCUACAAUGGGUGGGACAAUGGGUAUCGACACCGAAAGGUGAAGGCAAUCUCCUAAACCCAUCCGUAGUUCGGAUUGUGGGCUGCAACUCGCCCACAUGAAGCUGGAAUCUGUAGUAAUCGUGUCUCAAAAUGGCACGGUGAAUAUGUCCCUGCUCCUU
Molecule: ribosomal RNA, 297 nt
Filed under: uncultured Methanomicrobiales archaeon
Lineage: Archaea; Methanobacteriati; Methanobacteriota; Methanomicrobia; Methanomicrobiales
Description: partial 16S ribosomal RNA
Rfam family: Archaeal small subunit ribosomal RNA
Source: RNAcentral